Molecule: ribosomal RNA, 594 nt
Filed under: uncultured bacterium
Lineage: Bacteria
Description: bacterial SSU rRNA
Rfam family: Bacterial small subunit ribosomal RNA
Source: RNAcentral
CCUACGGGAGGCAGCAGUGGGGAAUAUUGCACAAUGGGCGAAAGCCUGAUGCAGCGACGCCGCGUGAGGGAUGACGGCCUUCGGGUUGUAAACCUCUUUCAGCAGGGAAGAAGCGAAAGUGACGGUACCUGCAGAAGAAGCGCCGGCUAACUACGUGCCAGCAGCCGCGGUAAUACGUAGGGCGCAAGCGUUGUCCGGAAUUAUUGGGCGUAAAGAGCUCGUAGGCGGCUUGUCACGUCGGGUGUGAAAGCCCGGGGCUUAACCCCGGGUCUGCAUUCGAUACGGGCUAGCUAGAGUGUGGUAGGGGAGAUCGGAAUUCCUGGUGUAGCGGUGAAAUGCGCAGAUAUCAGGAGGAACACCGGUGGCGAAGGCGGAUCUCUGGGCCAUUACUGACGCUGAGGAGCGAAAGCGUGGGGAGCGAACAGGAUUAGAUACCCUGGUAGUCCACGCCGUAAACGGUGGGAACUAGGUGUUGGCGACAUUCCACGUCGUCGGUGCCGCAGCUAACGCAUUAAGUUCCCCGCCUGGGGAGUACGGCCGCAAGGCUAAAACUUAAGGAAUUGACGGCUGNGAGNGCGAGCGACACGAGGAGAG